Molecule: ribosomal RNA, 440 nt
Filed under: uncultured bacterium
Lineage: Bacteria
Description: partial 16S ribosomal RNA
Rfam family: Bacterial small subunit ribosomal RNA
Source: RNAcentral
CCUACGGGAUGCAGCAGUGGGGAAUAUUGCACAAUGGGGGAAACCCUGAUGCAGCGACGCCGCGUGAGUGAAGAAGUAAUUCGUUAUGUAAAGCUCUAUCAGCAGGGAAGAAAAUGACGGUACCUGAGUAAGAAGCCCCGGCUAACUACGUGCCAGCAGCCGCGGUAAUACGUAGGGGGCAAGCGUUAUCCGGAUUUACUGGGUGUAAAGGGGGCGUAGACGGCAGUGCAAGUAUGGAGUGAAAGGCGGGGGCUCAACCCCCGGACUGCUCUGGAAACUGUACGGCUGGAGUGCAGGAGAGGUAAGUGGAAUUCCUAGUGUAGCGGUGAAAUGCGUAGAUAUUAGGAGGAACACCAGUGGCGAAGGCGGCUGACUGGACUGUAACUGACGUUGAGGCUCGAAAGCGUGGGGAGCAAACAGGAUUAGAUACCCGAGUAGUC